GGGGCUAUAGCUCAGUCGGUCAGAGCAUCAGACUCAUAAUCUGUCGGUCGCGGGUUCGAGCCCCGCUGGCCCCACCA
This 77-nucleotide transfer RNA is filed under the name Corynebacterium frankenforstense. Its description in RNAcentral is "tRNA-Ile2(cat)". It matches the Rfam family "tRNA". Rfam says of the family: Transfer RNA (tRNA) molecules are approximately 80 nucleotides in length. Their secondary structure includes four short double-helical elements and three loops (D, anti-codon, and T loops). The record is from RNAcentral. Lineage: Bacteria; Bacillati; Actinomycetota; Actinomycetes; Mycobacteriales; Corynebacteriaceae. RNAcentral also lists the same sequence under 2 other names.